RNAcentral lists this ribosomal RNA (253 nucleotides) under uncultured bacterium. RNAcentral's name for it is "partial 16S ribosomal RNA". It matches the Rfam family "Bacterial small subunit ribosomal RNA", at positions 524 to 776 of the family's 1533-position model. The record is from RNAcentral.
UACAGAGGGUGCGAGCGUUGUCCGGAAUCACUGGGCGUAAAGGGUGCGUAGGCGGGUUUUUAAGUCAGGGGUGAAAUCCUGGAGCUCAACUCCAGAACUGCCUUUGAUACUGAAGAUCUUGAGUCCGGGAGAGGUGAGUGGAACUGCGAGUGUAGAGGUGAAAUUCGUAGAUAUUCGCAAGAACACCAGUGGCGAAGGCGGCUCACUGGCCCGGUACUGACGCUGAGGCACGAAAGCGUGGGGAGCAAACAGG